Molecule: transfer-messenger RNA, 282 nt
Filed under: bovine gut metagenome
Rfam family: transfer-messenger RNA
About the family: Bacterial tmRNA, also known as 10Sa RNA or SsrA, is named for its dual tRNA and mRNA-like properties. Its role is to liberate the mRNA from a stalled ribosome.
Source: RNAcentral
GGGCUGAUUUGGCUUUGAUAGCGUGUAGAGGUGGUAAGCAAGCAUGCAGAGCGAUGAUGGCAAUGCUCUUAAAUAUCAGUCAUUACUAAAUUUAACUGGCGAAAACACUUACGCUCUCGCUGCUUGAUUGAAGUAUAGUAGAUCGGCUUUAUCUUAGCCCAAGGAUAGUUAAGACGAGACAUCACCCGAUUGCCCUCGCUCCGAGGCGUUUCGAACAAGUGGUGCUGGAAUAUCGGAGAUAGGGUGCGUUUGGACGAGGGUUCAAACCCCUCCAGCUCCACA